GACGAACGCUGGCGGCGUGCUUAACACAUGCAAGUCGUACGGUAAGGCCCUUUCGGGGGUACACGAGUGGCGAACGGGUGAGUAACACGUGAGUAACCUGCCCACAACUUUGGGAUAACGCUAGGAAACUGGUGCUAAUACUGGAUAUGUGCUCCUGCUGCAUGGUGGGGGUUGGAAAGCUCCGGCGGUUGUGGAUGGACUCGCGGCCUAUCAGCUUGUUGGUGGGGUAGUGGCCUACCAAGGCGGCGACGGGUAGCCGGCCUGAGAGGGUGACCGGCCACAUUGGGACUGAGAUACGGCCCAGACUCCUACGGGAGGCAGCAGUGGGGAAUAUUGCCCAAUGGGCGCAAGCCUGAUGCAGCAACGCCGCGUGCGGGAUGACGGCCUUCGGGUUGUAAACCGCUUUCAGCAGGGACGAAGCUUUUUGUGACGGUACCUGCAGAAGAAGCACCGGCUAACUACGUG
This 465-nucleotide ribosomal RNA is filed under the name uncultured bacterium. Its description in RNAcentral is "partial 16S ribosomal RNA". It matches the Rfam family "Bacterial small subunit ribosomal RNA", at positions 28 to 507 of the family's 1533-position model. The record is from RNAcentral.